This 459-nucleotide ribosomal RNA is filed under the name uncultured bacterium. RNAcentral's name for it is "SSU rRNA". It matches the Rfam family "Bacterial small subunit ribosomal RNA", at positions 26 to 518 of the family's 1533-position model. The record is from RNAcentral.
AGAGCGAACGCUGGCGGCAGGCCUAAUACAUGCAAGUCGAACGGACCCUUCGGGGUUAGUGGCGGACGGGUGAGUAACACGUGGGAACGUGCCCUUUGGUUCGGAACAACUCAGGGAAACUUGAGCUAAUACCGAAUGUGCCCCCUCCUUUGAUUAGGGGGGUGGGAAAGAUUUAUCGCCAUUGGAGCGGCCCGCGUCUGAUUAGCUAGUUGGUGGGGUAAAGGCCCACCAAGGCUACGAUCAGUAGCUGGUCUGAGAGGAUGAUCAGCCACACUGGGACUGAGACACGGCCCAGACUCCUACGGGAGGCAGCAGUAGGGAAUCUGCGCAAUGGGCGAAAGCCUGACGCAGCCAUGCCGCGUGAAUGAUGAAGGUCUUAGGAUUGUAAAAUUCUUUCAGCGGGGACGAUAAUGACGGUACCCGCAGAAGAAGCCCGGCUAACUUCGUGCCAGCAGCCGC